This 465-nucleotide ribosomal RNA is filed under the name uncultured bacterium. Its description in RNAcentral is "partial 16S ribosomal RNA". It matches the Rfam family "Bacterial small subunit ribosomal RNA", at positions 338 to 795 of the family's 1533-position model. The record is from RNAcentral.
CCUACGGGAGGCAGCAGUAGGGAAUCUUCCACAAUGGGCGCAAGCCUGAUGGAGCAACACCGCGUGAGUGCAGAAGGGUUUCGGCUCGUAAAGCUCUGUUGUUGGAGAAGAACGUUCGUGAGAGUAACUGUUCACGCAGUGACGGUAUCCAACCAGAAAGUCACGGCUAACUACGCGCCCGCAGCCGCGGUAAUCCGGAGGUGGCAAGCGUUAGCCGGAUGUAGUGGGCGGAACGCGAGCGCAGGCGGUUGCUUAGGUCUGAUGUGAAAGCCUUCGGCUUAACCGAAGAAGUGCAUCGGAAACCGGGCGACUUGAGUGCAGAAGAGGACAGUGGAACUCCAUGUGUAGCGGUGGAAUGCGUAGAUAUAUGGAAGCACACCAGUGGCGAAGGCGGCUGUCUGGUCUGCAACUGACGCUGAGGCUCGAAAGCAUGGGUAGCGAACAGGAUUAGAUACCCGGGUAGUC